CCUACGGGUGGCAGCAGUGGGGAAUAUUGCACAAUGGGCGCAAGCCUGAUGCAGCGACGCCGCGUGAGCGAUGAAGGCCUUCGGGUUGUAAAGCUCUGUCUUCGCUGACGAAACCUGACGGUACCUUAGGAGGAAGCCCCGGCUAACUACGUGCCAGCAGCCGCGGUAAUACGUAGGGGGCGAGCGUUAUCCGGAAUCACUGGGCGUAAAGGGUGCGUAGGCGGCCCUGCAAGUCAGGAGUUAAAUCCCUCGGCUCAACCGAGGUCAGCUCUUGAAACUGUAGGGCUUGAGUGCAGGAGAGGAGAGCGGAAUUCCUAGUGUAGCGGUGAAAUGCGUAGAUAUUAGGAGGAACACCAGUGGCGAAGGCGGCUCUCUGGACUGCAACUGACGCUGAGGCACGAAAGCGUGGGGAGCGAACAGGAUUAGAUAUCCUUGUAGUC
RNAcentral lists this ribosomal RNA (440 nucleotides) under uncultured bacterium. RNAcentral describes it as "bacterial SSU rRNA". It matches the Rfam family "Bacterial small subunit ribosomal RNA", at positions 338 to 795 of the family's 1533-position model. The record is from RNAcentral.